CUGAGGUUACUGCUAUCGAGAUUCGACUAAGCCMYGCCGAGUUGAAUGUUCUUCGUGAACAUGGCGGACUGCUCAGUAACACGUGGACAACCUACCCUUGGGUCCGGCAUAAUCCUGGGAAACUGGGAAUAAUUCCGGAUAGGUCACCGAUGCUGGAAUGCGCGGUGGCCGAAAGCUCCGGCGCCCGAGGAUGGGUCUGCGGCCUAUCAGGGUUGUAGUGGGUGUAACGUACCUACUAGCCUACGACGGGUACGGGUUGUGAGAGCAAGAGCCCGGAGAUGGAUUCUGAGACACGAAUCCAGGCCCUACGGGGUGCAGCAGGCGCGAAAACUUUACAAUGCGGGAAACCGUGAUAAGGGGAUCUCGAGUGCCAGCAUAUAAUGUUGGCUGUCCAGAUGCCUAAAAAGCAUCUGUUAGCAAGGGCCGGGCAAGACCGGUGCCAGCCGCCGCGGUAACACCGGCGGCCCGAGUGGUAACCGCUAUUAUUGGGUCUAAAGGGUCUGUAGCCGGCCAGGUAAGUCCCUUGGGAAAUCUGGCAGCUCAACUGUCAGGCUGCUAGGGGAUACUGUUUGGCUUGGGACCGGGAGAGGUGAGAGGUACCUUGGGGGUAGGGGUGAAAUCUUGUGAUCCUCGAGGGACCACCAGUGGCGAAGGCGUCUCACCAGAACGGGUCCGACGGUAAGGGACGAAAGCUAGGGGCACGAACCGGAUUAGAUACCCGGGUAGUCCUAGCCGUAAACGAUGCUCGCUAGGUGUCAGUCACGGUGCGACCGUGAUUGGUGCCGUAGGGAAGCCGUGAAGCGAGCCACCUGGGAAGUAUGGCCGCAAGGCUGAAACUUAAAGGAAUUGGCGGGGGAGCACUACAMCSSGUGGAGCCUGCGGUUUAUUG
This 889-nucleotide ribosomal RNA is filed under the name uncultured Methanosaeta sp. RNAcentral's name for it is "bacterial SSU rRNA". It matches the Rfam family "Archaeal small subunit ribosomal RNA", at positions 18 to 907 of the family's 1478-position model. The record is from RNAcentral. Lineage: Archaea; Methanobacteriati; Methanobacteriota; Methanomicrobia; Methanotrichales; Methanotrichaceae.